GGGGACAGACGCCCAACACAGGUUACAGACGUCCAACACAGGGGACAGACGUCCAACACAGGGGACAGACGUCCAACACAGGUUACAGACGUCCUACACACUGAAAAGACGUCCAACACAGGGGACAGACGUCCAACACACUCGACAGACGUCCAACACAGGGGACAGACGUCCAACACAGGGACAGUCGUCCUACACACUGGAUAGACGUCCAACACAGGGGACAGACGUCCAACACAGGGGACAGUCGU
This is a long non-coding RNA of Xiphophorus couchianus (Monterrey platyfish), 251 nucleotides long. RefSeq lists it as uncharacterized. Lineage: Eukaryota; Metazoa; Chordata; Actinopteri; Cyprinodontiformes; Poeciliidae. The record is from RefSeq and is a predicted model, not a curated record. The transcript has 2 exons.